RNAcentral lists this ribosomal RNA (253 nucleotides) under uncultured bacterium. RNAcentral describes it as "partial 16S ribosomal RNA". It matches the Rfam family "Bacterial small subunit ribosomal RNA", at positions 524 to 776 of the family's 1533-position model. The record is from RNAcentral.
UACAGAGGGUGCGAGCGUUGUCCGGAAUCACUGGGCGUAAAGAGCUCGUAGGCGGUCUGUUGCGUCCGCUGUGAAAACUCGGGGCUUAACCCCGAGCCUGCAGUGGAUACGGGCAGACUAGAGGUAGGUAGGGGAGAAUGGAAUUCCCGGUGUAGCAGUGAAAUGCGCAGAUAUCGGGAGGAACACCGGUGGCGAAGGCGGUUCUCUGGGCCUUACCUGACGCUGAGGAGCGAAAGCGUGGGGAGCGAACAGG